AUGAUGAACCCGGAGAUGAUGCGGGUGGCGGAGGAGCAGAUGCGACGCAUACCCGCCGACGACCUCGCCAGGAUGCAGCGGCAGCUCAUGUCCAACCCGGACCUGCUAAAGCUCGCAACCGAGAGCAUGAAGAACAUGACGGCCGAGGACUUCAAGCUCGCCGCCGAGCGCCUGAACCACGCAAGGCCAGAGGAGAUGCUCGACAUGACCGAGAAAAUCGCCAAGGCCAAGCCCGAGGAGCUCGCCGCCAUGAAGGUGCAGGCCGACGCUGAGACUUCAUGCGCGAUAUCCGCCGCCGAGAUGCUGAAGCGGCAGGGGAACCAGUUCCAUGGCCGUGGGCAGUACGCCGACGCCGCCGCCAAGUACAAGCUCGCCAGGGACAGCGUGAAGAACAGCGUGCCGUCGGCGGCCGGGCGCGCCCUGCAGCUGCAGUGCAGCGUCAAUCUGAUGGCCUGUUACCUGAAGCUAGGCGAGUUUGAGGAGUGCGUCAACGAAGGCUCGGAGGUUCUAAGCUAUGACUCGGGCACUGCCAAGGCGUACUACCGAAGGGGUCAAGCGUACAAAGAGCUAGGAAACCUUCAGGCUGCUGUUGCUGACCUGAGUAAAGCCCGUGAAAUGACUCCCGAAGAUGAAACUGUCGCUCAAGCUCUGACAGAGGCGCAAGAAAAACUUGCGACCGAAGGGGGAGCAGCAAACCUGCCGAAGGGAGUUGUCAUUGAAGAAAUUGUAGAAGAAGAUAUUAGUUCGGAUCUGUCGAGUGCUCAAACGAAUUCUUCUUCUUCUACUGCUACUGAGCAUACUGUUUCACAGCCACACAACGGAGCACGAAACUCGACACAAUCUAACUCUUCAGAAAGCUUGGUAAAUACGUCUCAGGUUGCUUCUUCAGCAAGCGGAACAAACCUUGUUGCUCCAGAUUUUGGAUCCAAUAUGCCUGGGAUGGUUGGUAUGGCGGACCCUGCUAUGUGGGAGAUGUUUACCUCCAUGGUGGAGAACAUGAGCCCUGAUGAGAUGGCAAACAUGAGUGGGCUGCUCGGUAUCGAGAUGUCCAAGGAAGAUGCUGCCAACGCUCAACAGGCUAUGUCUUCAUUCUCUCCACAAGAUUUAGAGAAAAUGAUGAAAUGGAUCGACAGAGCACAGCGAGGAGUCGAAGCGGCAAGGAAGACGAAGGACUGGCUCCUAGGCAGGAAAGGCUUCAUCUUCGCUAUCAUCAUGCUGAUCUUGGCGUUCAUCCUCCAUCGUCUUGGAUUCAUGGGGUAG
This 1260-nucleotide ribosomal RNA is filed under the name Triticum aestivum (bread wheat). RNAcentral's name for it is "partial small subunit ribosomal RNA". The record is from RNAcentral. Lineage: Eukaryota; Viridiplantae; Streptophyta; Magnoliopsida; Poales; Poaceae.